This 1693-nucleotide long non-coding RNA is filed under the name Fragaria vesca (wild strawberry). RNAcentral describes it as "long non-coding RNA (FVES_LNC003825)". The record is from RNAcentral. Lineage: Eukaryota; Viridiplantae; Streptophyta; Magnoliopsida; Rosales; Rosaceae.
UCACCCUUCCAAUUCUUGAAACCCUAACUUCUGUGACCCUCAUACUCACUAUAUAUAAGAGCUAUCAAGUCUCAGCCAAACCAUGCCUCAUUCAUCUUUUUCUUUCAGACUCUAGCCUCCUCCUUUCUCAUCACAAUCUUCUUUCGUCGAACACCGAAUAUGAAUGGUUGCGGCUCCAGUUCCGGUUCCUGUUCUAGAGGUUAUAACUUCUAUGUUUCUGUUUUUGGUUAAAACUAGUACUUCUCAAGGUUUGAAAGUUGUAGAUUUGGUGGUCUACUUUGUUUUCUGGGGAUACUCUCCAGUUUUGCCACAUUGGCUCAAUAUAUUUUGUUGAUUUCGCCUUCACAGGGUUUUCCAGUUCCUCUGUAUGGGCAGGAUUCUCUGGCAGAAGAUCAAAGAUCAAGUAAGCCCAGUGUUUAUUACUGUUUAACAUCAGUGUACUGCACUACUGUGUACGAUUAUAAGUUGGGUUUGUGUUGGGCUCCUACAAACUGUGUGGCUUGAUUGCUAUAUUCUUAGCUAGGACUAAUCUUGGUCUUAACUGCCAUUUUAGGCAUCUUGAAUCAGUCUGCUUGUUUGGAAUUGGAGGUAUUGGCAAGAAGCAGCUAUCAUCUUCCGGGUGCAUCAUUCCGGCCUUGUAGUUUCCGGGGAAACGGCGAUUGUGACAUUCAGUCAAAUUCAGCUUGUUAUACUGGACUACCAACAAGGCCCCAUUGGCGGCUUUGAUUUUUUCUGGAGAAUCAAUUGCUAGAUUAGAAUUGUUGUCCGGUACAAGACCAAAGCUAUUAGGCCUCGUUUGAUUCGUAGAAAGAAAAGUAGUUCUCUUGGCUUUCCCACGGGAAGUGAGAGAGAAGAGAAAUGAAAUUUCCUGAAGACUUUUCGUUUCGAUGUUUGGUAACAUAAGGAAAAUCAUCCGGAAAGUUGUUGAUUAAAAUAAUAUAUUGUGAGUAAUAAAUGCAAAAAAAGGAGAUGGGAAAGUGGUUCCUAUGGAUUUUGGAAUGAACAACUUUCUCUUAUAUUUUCCAACCUUAAGGAAAGUAUUUCCUUUCCUUUAGUAUUCCCAAACGCAGAAAAUGAAUAACUUUCUUUUCCUAACGGUUACUUUCCAUUAACCAAAUGAGGUGUUAAGAAACAUGAUAGUUUUUAUUUAAAUAUUAUAACGUCUUUUAGGCUUCGUCAUUCCGUCUCAAGGUUUUCAAGACAUGAGGCUUCGAUGAGACACCUCACCUUACGCUUUCGAUAUUUUACAUGUUGCAUGGUACUUGAUCGUGGUGCCCUAGCUAGCAUAGGAGUUAUGCAAUCGUUAUUUCUUAUUACUUGUGUCAAAUGGAGCACUGAGCUCAUGAGAGCAGGCGUGUCUUGUUGGAGGGAGUGAUCUUGCCUGGCCCUCUCAGCCUUCAGAAUUCUAGUAUCACUUGCGUAGAUUGGUCUAGUUGAAAUCUGAAACACUAUGUAAUUCACUUGGACAUAUCAAACAAGGUGAUGAAAUUGUUCACAAACUAUUGAACCCGAUGGAAUUGAAGUUCAUCACAUGUAUCGUAUUACUAGGGCUAGGUCUCCAGGGCACAUUAAGACAUUGCUUCCAUUAUAAGUUGCUACUACUAUUCUACUAUGUUCUUUGAUAAAGGCGUUGUCGAAAACUCUCAAACCCAAACUAUACAGGUGCUCCGUUACAAGUUCCAAUCACAUUGAC